RNAcentral lists this microRNA (22 nucleotides) under Drosophila virilis. Its description in RNAcentral is "dvi-miR-9541b-3p". The record is from miRBase by way of RNAcentral. Lineage: Eukaryota; Metazoa; Arthropoda; Insecta; Diptera; Drosophilidae.
GUUAAGAGAUCUACUAUGCUAA